This 309-nucleotide unclassified non-coding RNA is filed under the name Hevea brasiliensis (rubber tree). The record is from RNAcentral. Lineage: Eukaryota; Viridiplantae; Streptophyta; Magnoliopsida; Malpighiales; Euphorbiaceae.
GAAAAAUACCUUAACUUACAAGCACCUAAUUCUUUCAUUUUUUAUACUUCAUGCUUCUCUUUUGGAGGAAGAAAAGACAAAAAAUAGGAAAAGAUUUUCCCUCUUUUUUAUUUUCUUUCAAAGUAAUUUCUCAAUUUUGGUUUGCCAUUACCUAUUCACUUCUGCACCCGCAUAUUUUGUUACUAGCUGCAGUUUUUAUAUGAAUGGAAUUUUAUUGCAUAGUUGAAGAGUUAUCGCUUCUGCAAUUUUGAAUUUUUUUUUUGACUUAAAUUAAUUUUAUCUUACAUUGUAGAUUCAAAAAAAAGCCUG